RNAcentral lists this ribosomal RNA (497 nucleotides) under uncultured bacterium. Its description in RNAcentral is "partial 16S ribosomal RNA". It matches the Rfam family "Bacterial small subunit ribosomal RNA", at positions 28 to 507 of the family's 1533-position model. The record is from RNAcentral.
GAUGAACGCUGGCGGCGUGCCUAAUACAUGCAAGUCGAGCGAACGGACGAGAAGCUUGCUUCUCUGAUGUUAGCGGCGGACGGGUGAGUAACACGUGGAUAACCUACCUAUAAGACUGGGAUAACUUCGGGAAACCGGAGCUAAUACCGUAUAAUAUUUUGAACCGCAUGGUUCAAAAGUGAAAGACGGUCUUGCUGUCACUUAUAGAUGGAUCCGCGCUGCAUUAGCUAGUUGGUAAGGUAACGGCUUACCAAGGCAACGAUGCAUAGCCGACCUGAGAGAGGGGUCGGCCACACUAGAACUGGGACACGGUCAAUACUCCUACGGGAGGCAGCAGUAGGGAAUCUUCCGCAGUAGGCGAGAGCAUGACGGAGCGACGCGAAGUCAGUGAUGAAGGUCUUCGGAUCGUGAUACUCUGUUAUUAGGGAAGAACAUAUGUGUAAGUAACUGUACACAUCUUGACGGUACCUAAUCAGAAAGCCACGGCUAACUACGUG